GAUGAACGCUGGCGGCGUGCCUAAUACAUGCAAGUCGAGCGAACGGACGAGAAGCUUGCUUCUCUGAUGUUAGCGGCGGACGGGUGAGUAACACGUGGAUAACCUACCUAUAAGACUGGGAUAACUUCGGGAAACCGGAGCUAAUACCGGAUAAUAUUUUGAACCGCAUGGUUCAAAAGUGAAAGACGGUCUUGCUGUCACUUAUAGAUGGAUCCGCGCUGCAUUAGCUAGUUGGUAAGGUAACGGCUUACCAAGGCAACGGUGCAUAGCCGACCUGAGAGGGGGAUCGGCCACACUGGAACUGAGACACGGUCCAGACUCCUACGGGAGGCAGCAGUAGGGAAUCUUCCGCAAUGGGCGAAAGCCUGACGGAGCAACGCCGCGUGAGUGAUGAAGGUCUUCGGAUCGUAAAACUCUGUUAUUAGGGAAGAACAUAUGUGUAAGUAACUGUGCACAUCUUGACGGUACCUAAUCAGAAAGCCACGGCUAACUACGUG
Molecule: ribosomal RNA, 497 nt
Filed under: uncultured bacterium
Lineage: Bacteria
Description: partial 16S ribosomal RNA
Rfam family: Bacterial small subunit ribosomal RNA
Source: RNAcentral